UUACUAUUCAGUGGAGAACUAUAAGGCCACAUAUGCACCAACUUUUGCACCACUAGAUGAUAAAAGUGAAUGGGUCCAGCAAUGAAGACUUCAUCUGAGACCCAUUUAAAACCGUCACAAUCUGUACAAGUGAGGUUUGAUUUUGCAGUGGGCAGUUUUUGAAGCAAUGACCAGAUUCUCCGCAAGCGUAACAACCAUUCUCUACUGGUAAUUUCACCAUCUUGCAUUUGACAGGAUCGAUGGCAUCGUCAAACCAUUCAAAGUACUGACAGGGCCUAAUUUAUAUGAAUGAAGCUGAAUCUGACCGUUACAAAUCCAACCGUUACAAAUCCGACCGUUGCAAUGAGUCACCGAGUUGACUCGAUACUGGUUUGGUUACGAACUCAGACGAGGGUUAAGUCGUCUUUUACCUAGCAGGUUAACUGCCACGUAGCCAGUUAACUAUCUAAAUUCGUUUUUUGAAAAAAACGGGAUGGAAAA
Molecule: long non-coding RNA, 480 nt
Organism: Papaver somniferum (opium poppy)
Lineage: Eukaryota; Viridiplantae; Streptophyta; Magnoliopsida; Ranunculales; Papaveraceae
Exons: 4
Source: RefSeq, a predicted model, not a curated record